This 468-nucleotide ribosomal RNA is filed under the name uncultured bacterium. Its description in RNAcentral is "partial 16S ribosomal RNA". It matches the Rfam family "Bacterial small subunit ribosomal RNA", at positions 28 to 507 of the family's 1533-position model. The record is from RNAcentral.
GACGAACGCUGGCGGCGUGCAUAACACAUGCAAGUCGAACGGAAAGGCCCUGCUUUUGUGGGGUGCUCGAGUGGCGAACGGGUGAGUAACACGUGAGUAACCUGCCCUUGACUUUGGGAUAACUUCAGGAAACUGGGGCUAAUACCGGAUAGGAGCUCCUGCUGCAGGGUGGGGGUUGGAAAGUUUCGGCGGUUGGGGAUGGACGCGCGGCUUAUCAGCUUGUUGGUGGGGGAGUGGCUUACCAAGGGUUUGACGGGUAGCCGGCCUGGGAGGGUGACCGGCCACAUUGGGACUGCGAGACGGCCCAGACUCCUACGGGAGGCAGCAGUGGGGAAUAUUGCACAAUGGGCGGAAGCCUGAUGCAGCAACGCCGCGUGCGGGAUGACGGCCUUCGGGUUGUAAACCGCUUUCGCCUGUGACGAAGCGUGAGUGACGGUAAUGGGUAAAGAAGCACCGGCUAACUACGUG